RNAcentral lists this RNase P RNA (155 nucleotides) under Dehalococcoidia bacterium. RNAcentral describes it as "partial RNase P RNA component class A". It matches the Rfam family "Bacterial RNase P class A", at positions 1 to 169 of the family's 367-position model. Rfam says of the family: Ribonuclease P (RNase P) is a ubiquitous endoribonuclease, found in archaea, bacteria and eukarya as well as chloroplasts and mitochondria. Lineage: Bacteria; Bacillati; Chloroflexota; Dehalococcoidia. The record is from RNAcentral.
UGAGGGGAAUGGACGGCCGCUGGGUGUAUAUACACCGAGAGGAAAGUCCGAGCUCCACUCGGAAGGAUGCCCGUUAACGGCGGGGCGGGGUGACCCGACGGAAAGUGCCACAGAAACAAACCGCUGCAAAGCAGUAAGGGUGAAAAGGUGAGGUA